CGGGGAGCCUCGCUAGCUCGGCCCAGCCCGAGGGUCAGCACUUCUCCUGGGGAGCCCAGUGGGCGGGAUGCCCUGAGGAGCCGCUCCGGAGAGUACAGUGCGCAGGCGCAGGUUUCGGGAGCCUGGCUGCCCAGGCCAGUUGGGAAGAGAGGGCGUCCGCAGGAGAAGCGGGUGCUGGCGAUUGAUUUAAGUUAAUUAGCAGCAAAAGUAGGUGAAAUUCCGAGAGAGCCAGCCAGAGUGGCAGGGCAGAAUGCGAAGCCCAGUUCCCUGCAGGAGAGCCCGGCCUUGCUUCCUGGGCUGCAGGAAGCUCAGGGGAGGGAGGGGAAGGGUCUGCUCCUCGGCGCGGCCUCACCUCUGAGAAACCGUCCAGAGGAAAUGGUCUGAAGCUCGGAGGAGGCGGGGCUCAGAGGAGGAGUAAGCAGGUGUCACAGAGCUGUCUCGGGAACAAACCGGGGAGGAAGAGGACGGCCCCUGCCUCCAGGGCUUGCAGCGCCGUCCAGGCCCGAGAGGAGGACUGGGAAGUGCCACGACGCCGGGAUUAGGGCAGGCCCGUGGACUGGGACCCCGGACUUCCUCACCUCCUUUCUGGGCCUUGAUUUCAGCUGAUUACAGGGAGGAGAGAAUUCAAGCUGCCCCAGAAGCUGGAAACGGUCGGAUCCUGCCACCUGCUGGCAGCUUCCGGCUCUGCCUGGGCUCCGUCUGAGCGAGGUAGUAUUCCGUCUCAGAGGGUCCUCUGAGCGCCCUAUGUCUGGCACCCCCCAAAAUACUCUUCCAGUACAACCCGGGAGACGCUUUUCUCCGCAGCAGCGCCCCUUACAGCUUCUCUCAGUGCCUGGCUUCUUCCAUAAGAGUUACGGCUUGCUUGUCUUUCCUGGAGAGAAAAUAAGGAGUAGAAACCCACCUGGCAUAAAAUAGAUUAUUAUUUCUGCUAUGGCAUCUCAGCAACAUGAGGACACUUGUGUUGCUAAAAUGUUCACUUUACGGGAUGGAGACUUUGACAAGCAGUAAGCACACCCAAAAGAAGCUUAAAACCAGCCAGGGCUGGGGUGUGGGUCAGUAGCAGAGUGUUACCAUGCACGAAGCCCUGGAUUUGUUUCCCAGUACAUGCACACACUCCAAAAUCACAGAUUACUUUUCUCACAAUUUUUGUUUUUCUUAUUGUAAAAAAAAGUGUUCAUUGUGGAUAAUCAAAAAAUGAAAAAGGCUAUUUACUAAGACUGGAAUAACUUUGAGGACGUUUUUGCAUGGAUAAUAAAAGAUUCCAAGUAGAUAGCUAUUAGACACCCAAGUGGAGAAGGAAUAUCAGUUGAGACUUUGUCAUUACUUUGAUAACUUUUAAAUUUAAUUUCUGCUUGUAUAUGAAUGCAUAUAUGUACAAUAUAUAAAUACAAAAAUGUGAGUUUCUUUACAAAAACAAAAAAAUGAAAAAGCCAUACUCCUGCUAUGGUGGUUGAGUUUUAUGUGGUCAACUUACUUAGCUUGGGAGCUGCACACUUCUAGGG
This 1502-nucleotide long non-coding RNA is filed under the name Heterocephalus glaber (naked mole-rat). RNAcentral describes it as "lncRNA (ENSHGLG00000050171.1)". Lineage: Eukaryota; Metazoa; Chordata; Mammalia; Rodentia; Bathyergidae. The record is from RNAcentral.